Molecule: small RNA, 27 nt
Filed under: Bombyx mori (domestic silkworm)
Lineage: Eukaryota; Metazoa; Arthropoda; Insecta; Lepidoptera; Bombycidae
Description: ovarian small RNA-22069
Source: RNAcentral
UAGAUACCAAAUUUAAAGGGCCGUUUA